RNAcentral lists this transfer RNA (76 nucleotides) under Atopobium sp. Its description in RNAcentral is "tRNA-Arg". It matches the Rfam family "tRNA". From Rfam's summary of the family: Transfer RNA (tRNA) molecules are approximately 80 nucleotides in length. Their secondary structure includes four short double-helical elements and three loops (D, anti-codon, and T loops). Lineage: Bacteria; Bacillati; Actinomycetota; Coriobacteriia; Coriobacteriales; Atopobiaceae. RNAcentral also lists the same sequence under 6 other names. The record is from RNAcentral.
GCCCUCAUAGCUCAGGGGAUAGAGCACAGGUUUCCUAAACCUGGUGGCGUAGGUUCGAAUCCUACUGGGGGCACCA